Molecule: long non-coding RNA, 807 nt
Filed under: Homo sapiens (human)
Lineage: Eukaryota; Metazoa; Chordata; Mammalia; Primates; Hominidae
Description: non-protein coding lnc-GSDMC-16:1
Source: RNAcentral
AUGCUUUAUAGAAGUUGGACCCUUUGAUGGCUUUUUACUUGCAGUUUUCCACAAUUCCCACUAUGAGGAUCUCAGUAAAGUCUCAUUGCCUUUACAGUGGUAUUUUGAUAAGUGCACUUACUUUGUUGUCAUGUCUUUGUCUUUCUACUCCAGUGCCUAUCUAAUUACCUGUCACAUAGUCAGAGCUCAAUAAUGCUUCCCAAAGCAUUCAUCUGCAUCAUUGCUCGGUACCUUAAUCUCUUCCUUCACGGUCUCUUGCAAAUAUUAUGUCAUAAUCUACCCACAAGCCACCAAGAAGUAGGUGGAAAAUGUUAUUCUCAUUUCACUGAUGGCAAAUAUCAGAUAAAAUAGGAACCACAUGAUUUACCUGUUAUAGGAAUAAAAGGGGGCAUAGGAAAAAUUUCAAUGUAAAAGUGAUUCUUCUGUUAGAUCUUGAAGGAUCCUGGUGACUAAAAAUCUCACCAAGGCAACACAAAAUUAAAACCACUUUAGCUAAAGGAAACCAAGGAGGCAAAGAAGUGGGAACCAUGGCCGGGUGUGAUGGCUCAUGCCUCUAAUCCCAGCACUUUGGGAAGCUGAGGUGAGCAGAUCACUUGAGGUCAGGAAUUCUAGACCAGCCUGGCCAACAUGGUGAAACCCCCUCUCUACUAAAAAUACAAAAAGUCCAGGCAUGGUGGUGCAUGCUUGUAAUCCCAGCUACUCAGGAGGCUGAGGCAUGAGAAUUGCUUGAACCCGGGAGGCAGAAGUUGCAGUGAGUCAAGAUUGCACCACCACACUCCAGCCCGGGCAACAGAGUGAGGCUCUGUC